AUUGCCUCAGUACGGCGAGUGAGCGGCAAAAGCUCAAAUUUGAAAUCUAGCACUUUCAGUGUUCGAGUUGUAAUUUGAAGAAGGUAACUUUGGUUUUGGCUCUUGUCUAUGUUCCUUGGAACAGGACGUCACAGAGGGUGAGAAUCCCGUGCGAUGAGAUGCCCAAUUCCAUGUAAAGUGCUUUCGAAGAGUCGAGUUGUUUGGGAAUGCAGCUCUAAGUGGGUGGUAAAUUCCAUCUAAAGCUAAAUAUUGGCGAGAGACCGAUAGCGAACAAGUACAGUGAUGGAAAGAUGAAAAGAACUUUGAAAAGAGAGUGAAAAAGUACGUGAAAUUGUUGAAAGGGAAGGGCUUGAGAUCAGACUUGGUAUUUUGCGUUCCCUUCCUUUUUGGUUGGGUUCCUCGCAGUUUACUGGGCCAGCAUCGGUUUGGAUGGUAGGAUAAUGACAUUGGAAUGUAGCUUUACUUCGGUGAAGUGUUAUAGACUUUGUUGAUACUGCCUAUCUAGACCGAGGACUGCGUCUUUGACUAGGAUGCUGGCGUAAUGAUCUUAAGCCGCCCGUCUUGA
This 565-nucleotide ribosomal RNA is filed under the name Dujonia zeylanoides. RNAcentral's name for it is "eukaryotic LSU rRNA". It matches the Rfam family "Eukaryotic large subunit ribosomal RNA", at positions 74 to 657 of the family's 3401-position model. Lineage: Eukaryota; Fungi; Ascomycota; Pichiomycetes; Serinales; Debaryomycetaceae. The record is from RNAcentral.